CAGCAGCCGCGGUAACACAGAGGGUGCGAGCGUUAAUCGGAUUUACUGGGCGUAAAGCGUGCGUAGGCGGCUUUUUAAGUCGGAUGUGAAAUCCCUGAGCUUAACUUAGGAAUUGCAUUCGAUACUGGGAAGCUAGAGUAUGGGAGAGGAUGGUAGAAUUCCAGGUGUAGCGGUGAAAUGCGUAGAGAUCUGGAGGAAUACCGAUGGCGAAGGCAGCCAUCUGGCCUAAUACUGACGCUGAGGUACGAAAGCAUGGGGAGCAAACAGGAUUAGAUACCCGUGUAGUCCCUGUCUCUUAUAC
Molecule: ribosomal RNA, 301 nt
Filed under: uncultured bacterium
Lineage: Bacteria
Description: partial 16S ribosomal RNA
Rfam family: Bacterial small subunit ribosomal RNA
Source: RNAcentral